Molecule: ribosomal RNA, 652 nt
Filed under: uncultured Enterobacterales bacterium
Lineage: Bacteria; Pseudomonadati; Pseudomonadota; Gammaproteobacteria; Enterobacterales
Description: bacterial SSU rRNA
Rfam family: Bacterial small subunit ribosomal RNA
Source: RNAcentral
GCUUGCUCUCGGGUGACGAGUGGCGGACGGGUGAGUAAUGUCUGGGAAACUGCCUGAUGGAGGGGGAUAACUACUGGAAACGGUAGCUAAUACCGCAUAACGUCGCAAGACCAAAGAGGGGGACCUUCGGGCCUCUUGCCAUCAGAUGUGCCCAGAUGGGAUUAGCUAGUAGGUGGGGUAACGGCUCACCUAGGCGACGAUCCCUAGCUGGUCUGAGAGGAUGACCAGCCACACUGGAACUGAGACACGGUCCAGACUCCUACGGGAGGCAGCAGUGGGGAAUAUUGCACAAUGGGCGCAAGCCUGAUGCAGCCAUGCCGCGUGUAUGAAGAAGGCCUUCGGGUUGUAAAGUACUUUCAGCGGGGAGGAAGGUGUUGCGGUUAAUAACCGCAGCAAUUGACGUUACCCGCAGAAGAAGCACCGGCUAACUCCGUGCCAGCAGCCGCGGUAAUACGGAGGGUGCAAGCGUUAAUCGGAAUUACUGGGCGUAAAGCGCACGCAGGCGGUCUGUCAAGUCGGAUGUGAAAUCCCCGGGCUCAACCUGGGAACUGCAUUCGAAACUGGCAGGCUAGAGUCUUGUAGAGGGGGGUAGAAUUCCAGGUGUAGCGGUGAAAUGCGUAGAGAUCUGGAGGAAUACCGGUGGCGAAGGCGG